GACAGAGGGUGCAAACGUUGUUCGGAAUUACUGGGCGUAAAGCGCGUGUAGGCGGCAGCGUGUGUCGGGCGUGAAAUCCCACGGCUCAACCGUGGAAGUGCACCCGAAACUGCGCAGCUAGAGUCCUGGAGAGGAAGGUGGAAUACUUGGUGUAGAGGUGAAAUUCGUAGAUAUCAAGUGGAACACCGGUGGCGAAGGCGGCCUUCUGGACAGUGACUGACGCUGAGACGCGAAAGCGUGGGGAGCAAACAGGAUUAGAUACCCCUGUAGUCC
RNAcentral lists this ribosomal RNA (273 nucleotides) under uncultured bacterium. Its description in RNAcentral is "partial 16S ribosomal RNA". It matches the Rfam family "Bacterial small subunit ribosomal RNA", at positions 524 to 796 of the family's 1533-position model. The record is from RNAcentral.